GUAGGUGAACCUGCGGAAGGAUCAUUACCGAGUAAGGGUCUUCCAGGCCCGACCUCCAACCCUUUGUUUAACCAACCACGUUGCUUUGGCGGGCCCGUCCUCUGGGGCCGCCGGGGGCUUAACCGCCCCUGGCCCGUGCCCGCCGGGGGCUUAACCGCCCCUGGCCCGUGCCCGCCGGGAGCCAUCUUAAAUUCUGAUAAUCGUGCCGUCUGAGUAUAGAUAUAAAUCGUUAAAAAACUUUCAACAACGG
RNAcentral lists this unclassified non-coding RNA (250 nucleotides) under plant metagenome. RNAcentral's name for it is "partial contains small subunit ribosomal RNA, internal transcribed spacer 1, and 5.8S ribosomal RNA". The record is from RNAcentral.